Molecule: ribosomal RNA, 426 nt
Filed under: Triticum aestivum (bread wheat)
Lineage: Eukaryota; Viridiplantae; Streptophyta; Magnoliopsida; Poales; Poaceae
Description: partial small subunit ribosomal RNA
Source: RNAcentral
AUGGAUGUAAACCUAAAAGUGAUAUUUUGGAACGUCCGUGGUCUCAAUAGCCAGGCGAAGCGUGUUGCCGUUCUCUCUGUGAUUAAUUCUGCCUCCCCUUCUAUCGUUUGCCUGCAAGAGACCAAGCUCUCGUCGAUCCCAUCUGCUUUGGUGUUCGAAACCCUGGGCAGUCAGUUUGAUGGGUACUUCUUUAUUCCGGCGAUUGACACCCGUGGAGGCGUUUUACUUGCCUGGCAAUCUAGCUUGCUCUCCUCUCCAACCCGACGAUCGGCGAUCACCAUGUUUCCGCGGUUGUUAGACCGACCUCGGGCGGCUCCCAUUGGUGGCUCACCGGAGUCUAUGGCCCACAAGGUGAUGAUGCUAAGCUCGCAUUUCUCAACGAGCUUCAAGACCUACGCACGACCAUCGCUGGCCCCUGGCUUCUAG